This 234-nucleotide ribosomal RNA is filed under the name uncultured bacterium. RNAcentral's name for it is "partial 16S ribosomal RNA". It matches the Rfam family "Bacterial small subunit ribosomal RNA", at positions 118 to 347 of the family's 1533-position model. The record is from RNAcentral.
UGAGGAACAUGACCUUCGGCGGGGGAUAGCCGGCCCAACGGCCGGGUAAUACCGCGUACGACCACUUUGGGACAUCCCUAGGUGGUGAAAGCAGCAAUGCGCCGAUGGAGUGCCUCGCGGCCUAUCAGCUAGUUGGUGAGGUAACGGCUCACCAAGGCGACGACGGGUAGCCGGCCUGAGAGGGCGAUCGGCCACACUGGAACUGAGACACGGCCCAGACUCCUACGGGNGCAG